Molecule: ribosomal RNA, 260 nt
Filed under: uncultured bacterium
Lineage: Bacteria
Description: partial 16S ribosomal RNA
Rfam family: Bacterial small subunit ribosomal RNA
Source: RNAcentral
CGGACGGGUGAGUAACGCGUGAGUAACCUGCCUUUCAGAGGGGGAGUAACGUUCUGAAAAGAAACGCUAAUACCGCAUAACAUCAAUUUAUCGCAUGAUAGGUUGAUCAAAGGAGCAAUCCGCUGGAAGAUGGACUCGCGUCCGAUUAGCCAGUUGGCGGGGUAACGGCCCACCAAAGCGACGAUCGGUAGCCGGACUGAGAGGUUGAACGGCCACAUUGGGACUGAGACACGGCCCAGACUCCUACGGGAGGCAGCAUG